RNAcentral lists this ribosomal RNA (275 nucleotides) under uncultured Pedobacter sp. RNAcentral describes it as "partial 16S ribosomal RNA". It matches the Rfam family "Bacterial small subunit ribosomal RNA", at positions 338 to 610 of the family's 1533-position model. The record is from RNAcentral. Lineage: Bacteria; Pseudomonadati; Bacteroidota; Sphingobacteriia; Sphingobacteriales; Sphingobacteriaceae.
CCUACGGGCGGCAGCAGUAAGGAAUAUUGGUCAAUGGAGGCAACUCUGAACCAGCCAUGCCGCGUGCAGGAAGACGGCCCUCCGGGUUGUAAACUGCUUUUAUUCGGGAAUAAACCUGUCUACGUGUAGCCAGCUGAAUGUACCGAAGGAAUAAGGAUCGGCUAACUCCGUGCCAGCAGCCGCGGUAAUACGGAGGAUCCAAGCGUUAUCCGGAUUUAUUGGGUUUAAAGGGUGCGUAGGCGGCCUGUUAAGUCAGGGGUGAAAGACGGUAGCUC